This 253-nucleotide ribosomal RNA is filed under the name uncultured bacterium. RNAcentral's name for it is "partial 16S ribosomal RNA". It matches the Rfam family "Bacterial small subunit ribosomal RNA", at positions 524 to 776 of the family's 1533-position model. The record is from RNAcentral.
UACGAGGGGGGCAACUGUUGUUCGGAAUCACUGGGCGUAAAGGGAGCGUAGGCGGGCUUCUAAGUUAGGUGUUUAAUCCCGGGGCCCAACCCCGGUCAGGCACCUAAAACUGGGAGUCUUGAAUAGUGGAGAGGUCAGUGGAAUUGGGGGUGUAGCGGUGGAAUGCGUAGAGAUCCCCAAGAACACCAGUUGCGAAGGCGGCUGACUGGACACAUAUUGACGCUGAGGCUCGAAAGCAUGGGGAGCAAACAGG